GUUGCAAGAAAAUUACUCUAACACAACAAGUAAAAAAAAGCUUUUAGAAUACAUACUAUUCUUAUAAUUUAUAUCAUUAUUCGAAUUGCUCCAUUAAUAUUAUCCAGCACUAUGAAGCUUAUCUGCAUUUUAAUAACGCUUGUAAACGUUUUGCCAAUAAUGACAGGGAAUAUGCAAAUUUGGUUUACAUUACAAGUCUGUACCAGUUUUUCAUACGAUAAAACAUUUUAUUUCAAUUUCAUCAUUUUUUAUACUUAUAUUGAAAAUAAUUUACUACAGACAGACACAUCAAAGAGGCUUUUGAUACAGAUCCUGCUGGAUUGAAGACUGCAAUUUCAAAUAUUAUCAAUGGCGAUAAAACGAUGGAUGUGAUAAGUUUGAUGUUGGCUGUAACGGAUAAAGCAAAUAUUUUCAAAAUUAAUCAUGACAAACCGUUUAUUAUCAACUUACCAG
Molecule: long non-coding RNA, 453 nt
Organism: Adelges cooleyi (spruce gall adelgid)
Lineage: Eukaryota; Metazoa; Arthropoda; Insecta; Hemiptera; Adelgidae
Exons: 6
Source: RefSeq, a predicted model, not a curated record